Molecule: long non-coding RNA, 2185 nt
Organism: Cygnus olor (mute swan)
Lineage: Eukaryota; Metazoa; Chordata; Aves; Anseriformes; Anatidae
Exons: 3
Source: RefSeq, a predicted model, not a curated record
AAUUUUCUGCAGAAGAGAAAAAGUAGCAAAAUGGAAGGGACGCAAACAAACUGAGAAAAGAAACGGGGGAAGGAGAUUUGAGCCUCAUUGGUGCCAUCCUUCUGGAUUCCUUGUGCUGCUGUGCCUCCAGGCACACUAUCUUUACGAAAAAAAGAGGGGGUAAGGCAGUUAAUCCCACUGGAGGAUACGCUCUAUCCCAACUCUUCCUCCAACAGUCCUGGCAAUCCUGCCUCCUGCUGCCAUUCUCAAGCAAGGAUAUGGCCCAGGCUCCCUCCCUCUACAGCAAGGCAAGACAGAAACCUUGUAGGGGAAAACUGUGUCCUGUAAGGGCUUACCCUGGUAGCUAGGACCCAAAGAGUGUUAUCUGCAUGCACACAACAGAAGCCAGCACUUCUUACCUAACACCAAAAGCAGCUGAGCAUUGCUCAUGGCAGAGUUCAUGAGAACAGACAGAAUGACUACUUGUUAUUAUUUCUGGUCCUCCCAAGACUCAGAGACUGGGAGACUGUGUCCUUCCCAGGCUGCUCAGUGCGGAUUAGAUGCCUUAUGCUAGCAGCAGCCCUCCAACUGGGGAGCUUGCUGCAGAUGGGCGGAUGCCCUUGGUGGUAGAAUUGCUGGCUGGGAAGCAGUUCAGUAUUUUAUACACCAGACAAACCGCAGUGAAGUAAAUGGAGAUAGUCUGCUGCUCCUGCUCUCUGCGGACACCGGAGGGAGCUGCAGCUCACAGGCAGUGGAAGCUCCGUUUCUUUUCUCUCUCGCAGUCCAAGCACAUUCUGUAAGAGAGGUGGCUCCGUGUCUGCAGGCCCUGAUCCGGUAUGAAGGCUCCCCUUUUAGCUGUCCUGUGUAUCAGUGUAUUGGAUCUACAACUCUUUAACCGUUUAGAUUUAGGGGAAGGGAAAUAAUCUUGUUAUUUUCCCCCCAUCCCCGUCUCACAGUAUUCACAAAGAUGGCUGGAGAGUCCUCACUGACGAGUAGGUAUGAAUAAUUAACAUUAUUCUUCCCUUCUCAUCCAUUUUACUACCUUCUGCUUUGCAUGUAGUUGUCCUUCUCCAGCAGAGGGUACUUUGGGGACAUCUGCAGUGAUCCAGCAGAUGACUCAAGGUAAAGCACUCUUCCCUCUGAAAAGUCAGAUAUCAGUGCCACGGUAUGGUGUGAAGGAGAACUGUGCCGCAGUGAAUAGCGUGGGUGACUCAUGAAGGAAACGCGUCCACCUUCAUGCAGAUAUUCCCUAAGCUGCACUGACCCCAGUGCCUGUAGGUGUUUACCUAAGAUGAAAUGCAGUGGCAGUGAUUCAGCAAGAAGUUCUCUUCCUUCCAAGUACUUGGUACUGACCUCCUUAUGUUACCAGGGAUGCUAUAGCAAUAGUAGCAUGAUAUUUUGGAUGAGACACAAAAUCAGCGUUUUCAGAAAUUAAAAUUUCCUGGUGCAUUUCACCCCAGAGAUUACUGCAUCUCAGCAGACAGGUGUUUGUCAUUUGCAAAGGUCCUGGAGAGGCAUUUAAAUGCCAGCUAUUUUCUUUCUGUCUUGCUCUCUGUCUCCCUGGCCUUCUCAUAUCCCCACAGUAACAGGGUGUUAAGUUACAUUUGAGUGAUAAGAAAUUAAUAAACUGCUGUAAGAUGUUUGAAUGCACCACUUCAAUAAUGUAGUACUAAGUGGUCAUUUGAAUUGGGGCUGGUGAAAUGAGUUUUCCUGGGAUGCACACUGAUGACUUCUCAUUGCUGACGGGCUCCAUACCUGAGGUCUGACACUACCCUGCACUUGUUUCACUGUUGUAGCCAAGGUCAUCAGUGGGAAGGGGCAUGAGCUUGAAGCCUGAUUCACCUGUCCCCAGAUUCGAGGGAUUCACGUCUGACUUUGUAUACAGUUCACUGUAGAAGUGGGAACCCUGUAAAGUAUAGGAGCCUGGACACAAUCCACAUCUUGUUGACUAAUGGUCAUGUUUUUGCUGUUCAUCUACAAUAAGGAGUUCUUCACCCAUUUACUUCCAAAUCAGCAGGCUUACCUUGCAGUGUCUUGUGGUCACAGAAAACCCUAAGGGAGACCACAAAACUAAUUAAUACAUGCUCAGCUCCUUCAAAUCAGUUCAACACUCAUGAAGAAUUGAGCAUGAGAACAGGCAUUUAGUGAAAUCUUUGAUGUUUAGUUGGUGAUUUGGCCAUGGGAUUCGGGAUUCUCCUGGCCAAGA